This is a long non-coding RNA of Herpailurus yagouaroundi (jaguarundi), 895 nucleotides long. RefSeq lists it as uncharacterized. NCBI's taxonomy places the organism in Eukaryota, Metazoa, Chordata, Mammalia, Carnivora, Felidae. The transcript is spliced from 2 exons. The record is from RefSeq and is a predicted model, not a curated record.
UCGGAAACUGGGGCCCCCGCCCCCCCCCCAACACCCCCAGGGCAGCCCUGAAGAGAAGCGAGGAGUCCCCCAGCGCCGUGCUCAGAAGGCCGGCAGAAAGUCAAACGUCAGUUUGUGGAUUCAGACGCAUGGAUUUCACGGAACCCUUUCUCAUCAAAACAACAGUCAUCUGCCUUGGGAGUCAAUCUGGGUGGACUGCCCAGCAGAUACCACGUGUGCCCCCAGCCCCCACUGACCUGCUCAAGGCAUCUGUCUCUCCUCAUUCCCCUCUCCCUGGCCACAGCCUUGGGGCCAGAGGAGGGUGUGGACCCUGGGCCGGGGCAAACAGUAGGCUCUUCCCGUGGAGCAAAGGGACGCUGGAGCUGGUGCAGCCCUUUUGGCACCUUGAGGUAAGUCAGUCUCAGAAUAAUGCGUGCAUGAAAGAAACCACCUGCUUUGUACCAAAGUCAAAACCCAGAGACCCCUCCCCAACCCUGGGGAAGUUUCCAGUCCAGCCCUGUCAUCUUCAAAAGAAAACCUCAGCCUGGCCAGUCCUUAACCUCUGUCACGGGCUGCGCGAGGACUCAAACUCUGUUGACACCACCCUGAAUGUUCCAGAACAUUCUGCAGGCAGGGAGCGCAUUUUAUCCCCAAGGGGCUAGGUCUCCAUCACCCGUCACUUGCACCGAAUGCCAGGCUUUGAGGAUUGUUGUUUUAUUUUAUUUUUUUUCAAUUUAUGUUCAUCCCCACGGGCAUUUUGAAGACUUUUCUUUGUAAUUCGUUAAGUUGGCUUUUGUUUUUUUUCAAGCGCUCCCUUCCUUGGCUCAAACUAAAAAAUUUCCAUCGCAUUUUCCGGACACUCUGACAUCAGGAAGCCCUGAGUUCCAGAAUCAAAAUUAAAUGAAUUGGAGAAGCA